GAUGAACGCUGGCGGCGUGCCUAAUACAUGCAAGUCGAGCGAACAGAUAAUGAGCUUGCGCCUUUGACGUUAGCGGCGGACGUGUGAGUAACACGUGUAUACCCUCCCUAUAAGACGGGUAUAACUUCGGGAAACCGGAGCUAAUACCGGAUAACCUCUUGAACCGCGUGGUUCGAUGGUGAAAUGCGGCUGUUCUGGCACUUAUAGAUGGAUCCGCGCCGUAUUAGCUAGUUGGUAAGGUAACGGCUUACCAAGGCAACGAUACGUAGCCGACCUGAGAGGGUGAUCGGCGACACGGGAAGUGAGACGCGGUUCAGACUCCUACGGGAGGCAGCAGUAGGGAACGUUAGGCAAAGGGCGAAAGCCUGACGGAGCAACGCCGCGUGAGUGAUGAAGGUGUUCGGAUCGUAAAACUCUGUUACCAGGGAAGAACAAAUGUGUCAGUAACUGUGCACAUCUUGACGGUAACUGAUCAGAAAGCCACGGCUAACUACGUG
This 497-nucleotide ribosomal RNA is filed under the name uncultured bacterium. Its description in RNAcentral is "partial 16S ribosomal RNA". It matches the Rfam family "Bacterial small subunit ribosomal RNA", at positions 28 to 507 of the family's 1533-position model. The record is from RNAcentral.